RNAcentral lists this transfer RNA (74 nucleotides) under Candidatus Uhrbacteria bacterium. Its description in RNAcentral is "tRNA-His". It matches the Rfam family "tRNA". Rfam says of the family: Transfer RNA (tRNA) molecules are approximately 80 nucleotides in length. Their secondary structure includes four short double-helical elements and three loops (D, anti-codon, and T loops). Lineage: Bacteria; Candidatus Uhriibacteriota. The record is from RNAcentral.
GUGGUCGUAGUUCAAUGGUAGAACACCGCUCUGUGGCAGCGGCCACGUGGGUUCGAUUCCCAUCGAUCACCCCA